GCCAGGCAUGGUGGCGCAUGCCUGUAAUCCCAGCUACUCAGGAGGCUGAGGCAGGAGAAUUGCUUGAACCCAGGGACGGAGGUUGCAGUGAGCUGAGAUCACGCCGCUGCACUCCAGCCUGGGUGACAGAGCGAGACUCUGGCUCAA
Molecule: unclassified non-coding RNA, 147 nt
Organism: Pongo abelii (Sumatran orangutan)
Lineage: Eukaryota; Metazoa; Chordata; Mammalia; Primates; Hominidae
Rfam family: Metazoan signal recognition particle RNA
About the family: The signal recognition particle (SRP) is a universally conserved ribonucleoprotein.
Source: Ensembl